GUCUAGUACACAAAUAAUUAUGACACUAAACUUACUAUGUAUGAGCUGGAGCCAUAGCUGAUUUCAGUGACAGAUGGAAAACUCCACUGAACCUUUUAUUGGCCAUAUGCCAUUUCUGACUGUUGGCCAACAACAAGAUUUGUUGCUAAUAUAUAAUGAUUUAAACAGUAAAAAGAGCAGCUGCACUUUGAUUUUCGGUGCCUUUACUACAGGUUUUCCUGGAGCUUUUGAAUAUCUGCUGCUGCUUUCUAAUGCAAAGCUGUCACUUCUGGUCUGUGAGAAGAGACUUUAUCUUCCCAGUGCUAUCCGAGCCACUGAUUUUGGCUGCCUUAACUUGGAAAGAUGCCCCCUUGAUGAAUGUGUGAUCUCCUGAUAGCUGGGUGCAGUGCUACCGUG
Molecule: long non-coding RNA, 396 nt
Organism: Gallus gallus (chicken)
Lineage: Eukaryota; Metazoa; Chordata; Aves; Galliformes; Phasianidae
Source: Ensembl